Triticum dicoccoides is the source of this 668-nucleotide long non-coding RNA. RefSeq lists it as uncharacterized. Lineage: Eukaryota; Viridiplantae; Streptophyta; Magnoliopsida; Poales; Poaceae. The record is from RefSeq and is a predicted model, not a curated record. The transcript has 3 exons.
GGUUGUCAUCGCCGCCGCCGCCGCCACACCCACCUCCACCAUCCAUGCCCCUCCAGCCCCGGCCAUCAGAGAAGGCGCCCUCCUGAGAAUCCCCAUGCGGCGCUACCGUUCGGUGAGCAAGGAAGAGGAGAUUCAGAGGCUCGAGGAGGUCGCCAUUACCACCGGUGAAGAGGAUGCAGACGUCCUCCUUGAUAAGUAAGCACUCGUUACUUUGCUCGAUCUGACCCGAGGGGAGGAGCGGGAAGUGGCGGCGGUGGUCUGGCCUAGUGGUGACCAGAUGAUAAAAAGAGGUGGAAGGCGUUGCGCCAAUCAGCCUGCAACAACGGCAAGACGGCGGAGAUUUGGGCACCAGCGGUGCCAAAGGUGCGCUGGCUUCCUCAUGUAUCCCAUCGCCGUCGCCUGCCCGCCGUCUCCUUCCUGCCCCAGAGUGAAGAGAAUGACCAGCCAGAGUACAUCCGCGGAACACCUUGUGGGAUCCAGUACUUCGAAGAGCUUGAAGAUCAUUGUUACAGGGGUAAUGAGGUUAAGCUCUAUGAACACCAGGUAGACGCUCUCUUUGCUAUGUUUUGGCACAAGGAGCCAGACAUCAAGUACUACAUGUGCACAAUCAAUAAAACAUUUGCUAAGCCAGGCCACCGCAUGGUAACCACAAAAACACUCUUAUCUUC